GUGUGAGGGCGGGGUCGGCAAAUGAGAAAGGUGAGGGACAGGGGAGGUCAAGAUGAAGGUGCCAUAGCCAGGGGAAGAAUGCUAAGCUAACGUAUAGGGGGGUGAAGACAGGUGAGGAGAGAAUGAGGUGAUAGUGGAGGAAAAUAGGAGACUGGCAGUAGUUACAACAGACAAAAAUAUCACUUUUCCUGCACAGGAACAGAGUAACAGGCAGAGGAAAAGACUAUUAAUAAGUAAGGGAGAUUUCUAAAGCCCCUUUAAGUAUAGAUCUGAGACAACAGAGACCAACAUGUAACCAGAAAUGAGCCAGCAGUAGAUUCUCCUUUUCCCUCCAUGGAUGUACACACUGAUUUGGACGUCCAAUCAGACACCAGGACUGUGGGCCUUGUCAUAAUAACUACCAUGACAUCACUGCAAGGGAUCGCGGAAAGAAGACAGCGGAGCUCCACACAGGCAGAGAGCAGGGGGGGCUCCGUGGAGCUGCUGCGACGCCGGCCACAGCGCACCGGCUGACGGAUCGAAACCGCGCGGACUACCGGGGGACUUGGUGUGUGUGUGUGGGGGGGGUUGAACAUGGAAGAGGGGUUGCCGCCCGGCUUGGACGUUUUCAUAGCCGGUUUCGGGAGCUCUUUCUCGGGCUCAAGUUGAGGGUUGUCUUUUUGCCGAAGGGAAGCGAGAGGAAAUUACGGAGGAGGUUGAGCGAGAAAAAUGGCAUCUUGUUUUAAUUUGUGCCAAUCACGACGAGAGGAAGACAACUCCCCAAACUGGCAGGACCUAACAGGACGGUGGAAACACAACCGAGAGACCAGGACAAGCUUGAACCGGAUGGCUCAAACUGGAACUGAGGAGCGGCGGCUGCUGUAAUCUCCACUGUUCAAUUAGCUGCACUGACCAGGACGACGCCUCCUACACUUCAUUAACAGGGAGGGGAAGGAGAUGCUGAUGGUGUAACAUGGAGUCAGGAAGGAGCACAAGGGAUGGAGAAUAAACCGGAGCUUGCUGUCAGAAGUGUGAGCCAUGUCCAAGGUGAAGCAAACUGAAUUAAAGUGAAUCGAGCUGAACGGAUCUGAACUGGAAUGACCUGAACUGAAUUGAAAUGAAACCUCUCAGGGGGGGAAAAAGGUUCAAACAGAAAAACCUGAGAGUGACAUGGAUGGAAACAUUGUGUCAUGUAUACCUGCUUUUUUGGGAUUUCCUACACUUUCUUUGGAUUUAAAGGGGUUUUUCAUUAUCAUAUUUGUUUUAAAGAAUGAAUUAAACCUAAAAUCUAUAACAUGAA
This is a long non-coding RNA of Labrus mixtus (cuckoo wrasse), 1279 nucleotides long. RefSeq lists it as uncharacterized. NCBI's taxonomy places the organism in Eukaryota, Metazoa, Chordata, Actinopteri, Labriformes, Labridae. The record is from RefSeq and is a predicted model, not a curated record. The transcript is spliced from 5 exons.